This 450-nucleotide ribosomal RNA is filed under the name uncultured bacterium. Its description in RNAcentral is "partial 16S ribosomal RNA". It matches the Rfam family "Bacterial small subunit ribosomal RNA", at positions 354 to 796 of the family's 1533-position model. The record is from RNAcentral.
GUGGGGAAUAUUGGACAAUGGGCGAAAGCCUGAUCCAGCCAUGCCGCGUGUGUGAAGAAGGUCUUCGGAUUGUAAAGCACUUUAAGUUGGGAGGAAGGGCAGUAAGUUAAUACCUUGCUGUUUUGACGUUACCGACAGAAUAAGCACCGGCUAACUUCGUGCCAGCAGCCGCGGUAAUACGAAGGGUGCAAGCGUUAAUCGGAAUUACUGGGCGUAAAGCGCGCGUAGGUGGUUUUGUAAGUUGGAGUUGAAAUCCCCGGGCUCAACCUGGGAACUGCCUCCAAAACUGCAUGACUAGAGUACGGUAGAGGGUAGUGGAAUUUCCUGUGUAGCGGUGAAAUGCGUAGAUAUAGGAAGGAACACCAGUGGCGAAGGCGACUACCUGGACUGAUACUGACACUGAGGUGCGAAAGCGUGGGGAGCAAACAGGAUUAGAAACCCCAGUAGUCC